AAACACGCCUGUUGCCAGGAACAUUGCUGCCUCAGCCAGCAGAAUGUGGGACCCUUCUCCUCCCUCACUGGAGCUGACAUCCCGCUGAAACAACAGAGGAAACCGGAGGGAUCUUCCUGUCAGGACUGCCAUGGUUGCUGCGGCAGAAAUAUGAACUAGCUGACACACAUGAAGGAGAGGAUUGGAUUUGAGGAGAUACUGACGGGGGUGCACAGCUGCAACAGUCCCCUCCAUCUCCACACCAGGACUAAUCCCCCCCCCCUCUCUCUCUCUCUCCCUCCCUGUGUGUUUGACUCUCCCUCUGUCGCACUCUCUCUGCUUUCUGCCUCUCGGAGGGGUGGGGGGUGCCAUAUGGGAGCUCAGAAAAAUGGAAGUGGAGCGGAGAUAGACAAGAGAGGAAUCUGUCAUUCUCGGGCUCGGAUGUCGGGGAUCUAUGUGAGAGGCGAACUAAAAUCUGACCCCAGGCAGCGAAACCCCCAGAGCAAGACACUUCCAUGA
RNAcentral lists this long non-coding RNA (498 nucleotides) under Dicentrarchus labrax (European seabass). RNAcentral describes it as "lncRNA (ENSDLAG00005031749.1)". The record is from RNAcentral. Lineage: Eukaryota; Metazoa; Chordata; Actinopteri; Moronidae.